Molecule: ribosomal RNA, 779 nt
Filed under: uncultured bacterium
Lineage: Bacteria
Description: bacterial SSU rRNA
Rfam family: Bacterial small subunit ribosomal RNA
Source: RNAcentral
AGAGUUUGAUCCUGGCUCAGGACGAACGCUGGCGGCGUGCUUAAUACAUGCAAGUCGAACGGGGUCCAACCGGUGGCAACACCGGGGAAGACCUAGUGGCGAACGGGUGAGUAACACGUGAGCAACCUGCCCCGAAGACUGGGAUAACACCGGGAAACUGGUGCUAAUACCGGAUGCCCUCACCGGGCCGCAUGACCUGGUGAGGAAAUGAAUUUCGCUUCGGGAGGGGCUCGCGGGCUAUCAGCUUGUUGGUGGGGUAACGGCCCACCAAGGCAGCGACGGCUAGCUGGUCUGAGAGGACGACCAGCCACACUGGGACUGAGACACGGCCCAGACUCCUACGGGAGGCAGCAGUAGGGAAUCUUGCGCAAUGGGCGAAAGCCUGACGCAGCAACGCCGCGUGGGGGAUGAAGGCUCUCGGGUUGUAAACCCCUUUCAGCAGGGACGAAAUUGACGGUACCUGCAGAAGAAGCCCCGGCCAACUACGUGCCAGCAGCCGCGGUAAUACGUAGGGGGCGAGCGUUGUCCGGAUUCAUUGGGCGUAAAGAGCUCGUAGGCGGCUUGGCAAGUCGGAUGUGAAAACUCCAGGCUCAACCUGGAGCCGCCAUUCGAUACUGCUAUGGCUAGAGUCCGGUAGGGGAGUGUGGAAUUCCCGGUGUAGCGGUGAAAUGCGCAGAUAUCGGGAGGAACACCGAUGGCGAAGGCAGCACUCUGGGCCGGCACUGACGCUGAGGAGCGAAAGCGUGGGGAGCGAACAGGAUUAGAUACCCUAGUAGUCC